CCGGGAUCGAGCGCUGCGGCGAUUUUCACACGAGUAGGAAUAUUCCCCCGGCUCAGACGGCCGACGGGUCCCAGCAGAGGGGAUCCGGCCGAACCGCCCCUUCUUCCACCGCAGCCCCUCCGCCGGGCACGCACCGAGCGGCCGCCCCGACAAAGCAAAGCCAUCCCCGCCCGCCCCGGAGCUCACGGCGAACGCGACCGACCCCGCAACCCCACCGCCCCGCGGGGCGAUCCCCGGCCGCGGUUACCUGCAACGAGCCGCCGGCUGCGGGGCUCACUCCAGCGUGACGCAGUAAUGGGAUCGCUCCGCUUUACAGCUUAUCCCGGCUAACCCCACGCGCUGGAAGGACAAGGGCACCGGCUGCUCCCCGGGGAGGAACUUUCUCCCCAUCGCUCCCAGCACCGGGGACCCCCGCCUCGUCUCCAACGCCGUCGCUACAUCUGUCCGCAGGUGCGGGCUCGAUACCGCCCGUCCCCAGGAGUGACGGCUGAUGAGUGCUGCGAGGCUGAAAGGAGAAGAAAACCCUUUGGCAAACGUUCGCUUUGAGUUUCUGGGCGAGCUGAAACGGGGCUCGGCCCCGGCGCUCCUCCCACGGCAUCAGACCUGGCACAAAACAUCCCAAAUCCCAACAGGGAUGAAGGAGGAGGUCGUGGUGAGGUGGGGGUCGGCCUCGGCUCCCAGCAAACAGCGACAGGACGGGAGGUGAUGGCCUCAAGCUGCAGCAGGAGGGGUUCGGGUUGGACGUUAGGAACGAUUUCCUCUCCAGAAGAGCAGUGCUGCUGCGGCACAGCUGCCCGUGUUGGUGGUGGUGGGCUCACACCAUCCCCAGGGCUGUUCAGUAACAGAUGUGGUGCCGAGGGAUGCGGUCGGUGGUUUGGUUGGACCCAGUGAUCUUAGUGGCCUUUUCCAACCUUCACGACUCAAUGAAAUCCCAACCAAAUCCCAUUGAGGACAGGGGUUGCAUCCUUACGGUGCACAGCUCCAUGCAAUGGGGGCCCAGGUGAGCACCGGGAGCGUCCGCUGUCGUGGGAUGGGGGCUCAUGGGUCCCUCAGCCCCACAUGAGUGAAACAACCAGCUCGCCUUUCUGAAUAAUUAAAUGGGAGAUGUUGGAGGAAAGAAAUCAGGGCAUCGUUUGGCUAAUUAUCUCGAAGCCAGAGCAACCAAAAAAAAAAAAAAAAAGAAAGAAAGAAAGAAAAGCACGCAAAGUUAAUUUAAUUGGGUCAAACAAUAGCGUUGCCAUGAAGCAGCUGCAUGGGGCUCCUGUAGCGCCUCGCUGGGACCUCGGCUCUGUGUCACUGCUUGGGGAACCUCGUGCUGGGGGAACACAUGGGGAAAUGGGCUUUGUGGAGCCGUGUGAGCCUGUGGGACGUUGUCCAUGUCGUCCCCAUGCUGCAGCCUGGCCGUGCCCUACGCAACAGGCAGGGGUUUGGGGAGCACUGCAAAGGGAGAGUCCCAAAGCAUCCUGAAAAACAGGAAGAGAAGGCUGAGAAUGCAGCAUGGGCAGGGCUGGGAGCUCAGCUGCGGGUGCCAGGGGGAGGGGGGCACCUGGAGCUGCCCCAGAUGUUCCCCAGGUGGAGCAUCCGUGUGUCCUCCAGGGACAUCCACCCCAAGGGCUCCCGUGGAUGAGGGCGAAGCUCUGCAGCUUUAACACCUGCAGAAGGCUCCGAUGAAAAGCAAAGGCGCCGCAAUGGGAUGAAAGCGUGUGGGCAAAGCAUCUUAUCUGGGGCUGAAACAACGCGCCUGACAACAACACCCAGCGAGGAGAACGCGCUCGGAGAGGGAUGUUUUAAUCUGAUCUCGCUGCAGAAAUAAAGCGCUUCCUUGUCGCAGCGCUGACAAAAGAAAAGGCGACAGAGGCAGAAAACAAUUAUAUCUGCAUAAAGAGAUAUAGGGUUGGUUUUUUAAUUUGUUAAUUAGUGACUGCUGGGCAUCACAAGGAUCGUUGUUUUCUCUGAUAUGCUGAUUUCUUCCUUCUCUCGGUGGAAUUGGAGAGCGCACGCACACAGAAAGACACUUCUUUACAAUGGGGAAUGGGGAAGAAGUUUCAGAAAGGUCAGGAGAAAUGUGAUAGGAAGAAGGAGUCUGAGUUCUCCUUUCCUGGAGGGGCUCUGUACUCCGGGUGAGAACUACCCAGGCACAACAAAAUGGGUUCUGAAUUAUAGAUCAAGAGAGUCGCCGGUGGGCGCCUCGGGUGGGGGGUGCGGAUGUGGGAUGCAAGAGGGGCAGAGAGCAAAACCCGGGGCAGGGAAAGCAGGGGAGAUUUCCUCAGCAACAUCUCUGCACUACUGAGCAACGCUGGCAAGAACUCUGCACCACCGCAGCUGGUAUCUAUGGGUCCCAAACACAACCGUAGAGAGAUCAAAAAAACCACAGUCCCUCCGUUCCCUGCCUGCUGGGGCAGCGAGGAAGGCUUGCGUGGAAUAUUUACUCUCUCUAUCUGCCUUUAACAUAUCUAUCUGUGCUGCCAGCUGUCUGCAUUUGUGCAGCUCUUUGAACGCCGCGCUGCAGAAAUAGUUUGCUCCGGAGCAACAGAUAAAAUGGUUUUCCAGUUGUCUCGCCUUCACUCUUGAAUUAUUUCCAUGCUAAUGAGAGCCCUGCAGAGGCACUCC
Molecule: long non-coding RNA, 2610 nt
Filed under: Gallus gallus (chicken)
Lineage: Eukaryota; Metazoa; Chordata; Aves; Galliformes; Phasianidae
Source: RNAcentral